UACGGGGGGGGUAAGCGUUGUUCGGAAUUACUGGGCGUAAAGGGCUCGUAGGCGGCCAACUAAGUCAGAUGUGAAAUCCCCAGGCUCAACCUGGGAACUGCAUCUGAUACUGGAUGGCUUGAAUUCGGGAGAGGGAUGCAGAAUUCCAGGUGUAGCGGUGAAAUGCGUAGAUAUCUGGAGGAAUACCGGUGGCGAAGGCGGCAUCCUGGACCGACAUUGACGCUGAGGAGCGAAAGCUAGGGGAGCAAACGGG
This 253-nucleotide ribosomal RNA is filed under the name uncultured bacterium. RNAcentral describes it as "partial 16S ribosomal RNA". It matches the Rfam family "Bacterial small subunit ribosomal RNA", at positions 524 to 776 of the family's 1533-position model. The record is from RNAcentral.